AGGAGUUUGGAAUCCUGGCUCAGAACGAACGCUGGCGGCAUGCCUAACACAUGCAAGUCGAACGAGACCUUCGGGUCUAGUGGCGCACGGGUGCGUAACGCGUGGGAAUCUGCCCUUGGGUUCGGAAUAACUUGGAGAAAUUCAAGCUAAUACCGGAUAAUGACGUAAGUCCAAAGAUUUAUCGCCCUAGGAUGAGCCCGCGUAAGAUUAGCUAGUUGGUGGGGUAAAGGCCUACCAAGGCGACGAUCUUUAGCUGGUCUGAGAGGAUGAUCAGCCACACUGGGACUGAGACACGGCCAGACUCCUACGGGAGGCAGCAGUGGGGAAUAUUGGACAAUGGGCGAAAGCCUGAUCCAGCAAUGCCGCGUGAGUGAUGAAGGCCUUAGGGUUGUAAAGCUCUUUUACCCGGGAUGAUAAUGACAGUACCGGGAGAAUAAGCCCCGGCUAACUCCGUGCCAGCAGCCGCGGUAAUACGGAGGGGGCUAGCGUUGUUCGGAAUUACUGGGCGUAAAGCGCACGUAGGCGGCUAUUCAAGUCAGGGGUGAAAGCCCGGAGCUCAACUCCGGAACUGCCUCUGAAACUAGGUAGCUUGAAUCAUGGAGAGGCGAGUGGAAUUCCGAGUGUAGAGGUGAAAUUCGUAGAUAUUCGGAAGAACACCAGUGGCGAAGGCGGCUCGCUGGACAUGUAUUGACGCUGAGGUGCGAAAGCGUGGGGAGCAAAC
RNAcentral lists this ribosomal RNA (721 nucleotides) under uncultured Alphaproteobacteria bacterium. RNAcentral's name for it is "bacterial SSU rRNA". It matches the Rfam family "Bacterial small subunit ribosomal RNA", at positions 1 to 773 of the family's 1533-position model. The record is from RNAcentral. Lineage: Bacteria; Pseudomonadati; Pseudomonadota; Alphaproteobacteria.